This 637-nucleotide ribosomal RNA is filed under the name uncultured bacterium. Its description in RNAcentral is "bacterial SSU rRNA". It matches the Rfam family "Bacterial small subunit ribosomal RNA", at positions 202 to 842 of the family's 1533-position model. The record is from RNAcentral.
UAAAGAUUCAUCGCUGAUAGAUAGGCAUGCGUUCCAUUAGGCAGUUGGCGGGGUAACGGCCCACCAAACCGACGAUGGAUAGGGGUUCUGAGAGGAAGGUCCCCCACAUUGGUACUGAGACACGGACCAAACUCCUACGGGAGGCAGCAGUGAGGAAUAUUGGUCAAUGGGCGUAAGCCUGAACCAGCCAAGUCGCGUGAGGGAUGAAGGUUCUAUGGAUCGUAAACCUCUUUUAUAAGGGAAUAAAGUGUGGGACGUGUCCUAUUUUGUAUGUACCCUAUGAAUAAGGAUCGGCUAACUCCGUGCCAGCAGCCGCGGUAAUACGGAGGAUCCGAGCGUUAUCCGGAUUUAUUGGGUUUAAAGGGUGCGUAGGCGGCCUUUUAAGUCAGCGGUGAAAGUCUGUGGCUCAACCAUAGAAUUGCCGUUGAAACUGGGGGGCUUGAGUAUGUUUGAGGCAGGCGGAAUGCGUGGUGUAGCGGUGAAAUGCUUAGAUAUCACGCAGAACCCCGAUUGCGAAGGCAGCCUGCCAAGCCAUGACUGACGCUGAUGCACGAAAGCGUGGGGAUCAAACAGGAUUAGAUACCCUGGUAGUCCACGCAGUAAACGAUGAUCACUAGCUGUUUGCGAUACAGUGUAA